GAUGAACGCUGGCGGCGUGCCUAAUACAUGCAAGUCGAACGCUGAAGGAGGAGCUUGCUCUUCUGGAUGAGUUGCGCACGGGUGAGUAACGCGUAGGUAACCUGCCUGGUAGCGGGGGAUAACUCUUGGAAACGAUAGCUAAUACCGCAUGACAACAGUUAUUGCAUGAUAACUGUUUAAAAGGGGCAACUGCUCCACUACCAGAUGGACCUGCGGUGUCUUAGCUAGUUGGUGAGGUAACGGCUCACCAAGGCGACGAUACAUAGCCGACCUGCUAGGGGGAGUCGCCAAAAUGGGAAUGGGAAAAGGGCCAGAAUCCCAAGGGAGGGAGGAGGAGGGAAUUGUCGGCAAUGGACGGAAGGCUGAACGAGGAAAGGCGCGUGAGGGAAGAAGGUUUUCGGAUCGUAAAGACCUGUUGUAAGAGAAGAACGAGUGGGAGAGGGGAAAGUGCACGCUGUGACGGUAUCUUACCAGAAAGGGACGGCUAACUACGUG
RNAcentral lists this ribosomal RNA (495 nucleotides) under uncultured bacterium. RNAcentral describes it as "partial 16S ribosomal RNA". It matches the Rfam family "Bacterial small subunit ribosomal RNA", at positions 28 to 507 of the family's 1533-position model. The record is from RNAcentral.